ACAAACUUGGUCAUUUAGAGGAAGUAAAAGUCGUAACAAGGUCUCCGUUGGUGAACCAGCGGAGGGAUCAUUAGCGAGUUGAUAAUAGACUCCAAACCCAUGUGAACAUACCUAUUGUUGCCUCGGCAGGCCGUGCCGCGCGGGUAGAACUUACCCUGUAGCUGGGAGGACCUACCCCCGCAGCACACACUCGGGCCUGCCGAAGGACCACUAAACUCUGUUUUACACCUGUAUUUCUGAGUCUACUAUAUAAGUUAAAACUUUCAACAACGGAUCUCUUGGUUCUGGCAUCGAUGAAGAACGCAGC
Molecule: unclassified non-coding RNA, 307 nt
Filed under: uncultured fungus
Lineage: Eukaryota; Fungi
Description: partial contains small subunit ribosomal RNA, internal transcribed spacer 1, and 5.8S ribosomal RNA
Rfam family: Eukaryotic small subunit ribosomal RNA (bases 1-73)
Source: RNAcentral